This is a non-coding RNA of Schistosoma haematobium, 45 nucleotides long. The record is from Rfam. NCBI's taxonomy places the organism in Eukaryota, Metazoa, Platyhelminthes, Trematoda, Strigeidida, Schistosomatidae.
AUCCGUCUGAAGAGUCCCAAAUAAGAUGAAACACGCGUCCUGGAU